GGCUGGUUGGAUGGCAGUGGGUUAUCAGAACUUAUUAACAUUAGUGUCACUAAAGUUAGUAUACCCCCCCACAGCUAAAUUUGACUGGCUUUAA
Unclassified non-coding RNA from Cavia porcellus (domestic guinea pig), 94 nucleotides. It matches the Rfam family "Y RNA". From Rfam's summary of the family: Y RNAs are components of the Ro ribonucleoprotein particle (Ro RNP), in association with Ro60 and La proteins. The record is from Ensembl. NCBI's taxonomy places the organism in Eukaryota, Metazoa, Chordata, Mammalia, Rodentia, Caviidae.